AUUGAACGCUGGCGGAAUGCUUUACACAUGCAAGUCGAACGGCAGCACGGGGCAACCUGGUGGCGAGUGGCGAACGGGUGAGUAAUACAUCGGAACGUGCCCAAUCGUGGGGGAUAACGUAGCGAAAGUUACGCUAAUACCGCAUACGAUCUACGGAUGAAAGCGGGGGAUCGCAAGACCUCGCGCGAAUGGAGCGGCCGAUGUCAGGUUAGGUAGUUGGUGGGGUAAAGGCUCACCAAGCCAACGAUCUGUAGCUGGUCUGAGAGGACGACCAGCCACACUGGAACUGAGACACGGUCCAGACUCCUACGGGAGGCAGCAGUGGGGAAUUUUGGACAAUGGGCGCAAGCCUGAUCCAGCCAUUCCGCGUGCAGGAUGAAGGCCUCGGUUGUAAC
This 395-nucleotide ribosomal RNA is filed under the name uncultured bacterium. RNAcentral's name for it is "bacterial SSU rRNA". It matches the Rfam family "Bacterial small subunit ribosomal RNA", at positions 30 to 429 of the family's 1533-position model. The record is from RNAcentral.